AUACAAAUUGCAUCGUGCAAUGGUGUGCACAUGUUUUAGGACACAAAGUUCGCCGUAAAAACAGUCUUCCAUCCGCUCCGUGGAGUUCCCGAGUGUCGCUUGAAUGCUUCGGUUAUGGUGCAGUUGUUUUUGCAUAACUCGCCCGGAAUUAUUUGGACAACAGGGGUAGCGUCAAGUGCCACACUUCCGAAGACGUUAGGUCGCAGCGGGACAAUGUAUUCACGCCAACAUUGCAGUCGGAAGAAAGUGCAGUGCAAGACAGUUUGUUGUUGCUGCUGCUGCUGCUGUCCGCAUUCCAUAUCGCUUGUGACGUGAAACAAUAGUGAAAUCUCAUCUGUCGCACGAGCUACGAGGAGAGUGGUUUUUUUGUGUGUUCUAUUUGUUGCAUAUUUUGCAUGCAAAUGCACUUUACAAUGCACUCAAUCGCUUGGUGUGAUGCAGUCGCUUGCUGAAGAAAAGGUUUUGCAUUCAUAUCACCCACGAUGACGAUGAUACACAAACUCACAGACACACACACACACACACACACACAUGUGUAUAUUGCAUGCACGACCGAGCAGCGGUUUGUUUGCAUACUGUUUCCGUUUGAAGUUGUGACCAUCUUGUUGUGAGACGGUGGACGGUGUGCCCUUGUCAGAAAGAUUGACUCUCGCAUGACGGUGCGGUGUCACACAGUAUGCUUCACCCGUCGUGGGGUCCUGGCUUAUGAUGGGAUUAUUCCCCAUAUGUGUGCGUGUGUGUUGCACUCAACUCUUAACCUUACCCGUAGAGAAAACAGCGAGAAGGCAUAGUGCUUUCUAAACAAACAAAAACACUACUACAAAAGCAAUUCAAUCCAUCAGAUCACAGCCCUGCCAACAAGA
Molecule: long non-coding RNA, 863 nt
Organism: Anopheles merus
Lineage: Eukaryota; Metazoa; Arthropoda; Insecta; Diptera; Culicidae
Exons: 3
Source: RefSeq, a predicted model, not a curated record